UAACACCAGUGAGGACAGCAUUUGCUGAU
Molecule: non-coding RNA, 29 nt
Filed under: Mus musculus (house mouse)
Lineage: Eukaryota; Metazoa; Chordata; Mammalia; Rodentia; Muridae
Source: RNAcentral